AGGUCCGGCUUUGAUAUUGACAGGGUGUGGUUUGCUAUUCUGCUUGGUUUUAAUUCCUCUCAUAGUUUCUCACUAUUGUCCAUGUCAGCCAAGGAACAGAGAAAUGGACGAACUGUAUUCUUUUGCCGGUCGCCAUUACAGCAGUGAAGAUCAGCUGAUUCGAAUCACAGAAUAGAUUGACCCAGAGUAGUUCCUAGAGGGAGAAAACAGCAUUUUUGCAUUAUUAUAUAGCUAUAUUUAGUUUUUUAAUAAAAUAAUCAUAUGGAGCUCUGUAAA
Molecule: long non-coding RNA, 276 nt
Organism: Eurytemora carolleeae
Lineage: Eukaryota; Metazoa; Arthropoda; Copepoda; Calanoida; Temoridae
Exons: 3
Source: RefSeq, a predicted model, not a curated record